CAAAUAUGGAUCUGCAAAUCUCAGUUUUUCUUCUGUUCGUGCUGUUCACUGCAGGACAGUCUCGUAACUGCUAUCAGUGCACAAGUUUGGCGAGCUCUUGUGACCAGGUAACAUGUCCUAAUGGAUUUUCCAACUGCUUAGGCGCAACACUAGAUAUUGUCAACUAUACUAAAUUGACAGUGAAAACUUGUG
Long non-coding RNA from Ctenopharyngodon idella (grass carp), 192 nucleotides. RefSeq lists it as uncharacterized. The record is from RefSeq and is a predicted model, not a curated record. The transcript is spliced from 3 exons. NCBI's taxonomy places the organism in Eukaryota, Metazoa, Chordata, Actinopteri, Cypriniformes, Xenocyprididae.